Molecule: long non-coding RNA, 963 nt
Filed under: Nicotiana benthamiana
Lineage: Eukaryota; Viridiplantae; Streptophyta; Magnoliopsida; Solanales; Solanaceae
Description: long non-coding RNA (NBEN_LNC037940)
Source: RNAcentral
CCAUCCACAUAAUUAAUCAACACAAUGCCAUAUUAAUCAACACAUAAUUAAGCUUAGUUUUGUUUUUACUAGGUUACCUAUGAAUGCUUGUUAUACAGAUUUACGUAUAAUUACGUACCUUAUAUAAAUACUGGGUAGUUGUUGUUGUAUAAAACAAGCUAAGGCCGGGACGUUACCAACUUUGAAUAUGUCCCAAAAGUGUGUUUCUUAAUCAGGACUUUGAUCAGAUCGUCGGCAUAGACAUCAUCUCCACUAGGCAUACCUAAGAAUAUAUAUAACAACAACAACAACAAGUACCCAGUGUAUUCCCACCAGGUGGGGUCUGGAAGCUUUUUUAAUUCAGAAAUGUGGCUGCUGGGAUUCGAGCCCAGGUCUCCACGGCCACAACGUGGAAUUCUCACCACUAAACUACAGCCACAUAGAUGCUUGUUUUUGUACAAUAGUAAUAUAUAUAUAAUAAUAAUAACAUUGCCCAAAUUAAGGUAUUUUCUCUUUCUUGUUUCAUAAUAUUAAAUAUUUAUAUCCUCGUGUUAGUUUUUAAGAGUUAAUAGUACAGUACCAAAUGUAGAAGUUGCUGAAUUGGUGAUUUAAGAAAUGUUGUCUCUCUUAGCGUUUGUCAUGUCACUAUGUCAGAGUUAUGAAAUGAAAAAACUUUAUGGAAUUAGGACGACGUCAAGGCAAAUUAAAACAACCAUAAUUAUAUAACAACAACAACAACAAGUACCCAGUGUAUUCCCACCAGGUGGGGUCUGGAAGCUUUUUUAAUUCAGAAAUGUGGCUGCUGGGAUUCGAGCCCAGGUCUCCACGGCCACAACGUGGAAUUCUCACCACUAAACUACAGCCACAUUAGAAUAUAUAUAACAAAUGAAUGGAAAUAUUCAUACACGGAUAUAUCAUAAUUAAUCAGUAUUAUUUAAAUUCUUAAGAAAUAUAUAAUGCAUGGUAAUUAAAGGUAAAUGAAAC